Molecule: long non-coding RNA, 1305 nt
Organism: Oncorhynchus keta (chum salmon)
Lineage: Eukaryota; Metazoa; Chordata; Actinopteri; Salmoniformes; Salmonidae
Exons: 4
Source: RefSeq, a predicted model, not a curated record
GGCAGGCAGGCAGGCAGGCAGGCAGACAGACAGACAUCAGAUCCUCCCCUACUAGACAGACAGACAGACAGACAGACAGACAGACAGACAGACAGACAGACAGACAGACAGACAGACAGACAGACAGACAUCCUCUAUUUUUCCUCUUUGACAACAACACUUAUUCUGUCGAAGGGUUAAAGGACAGGCAAUUUUCUGUUUCCAAUUUGUAAAAAGCAUAUGUUGACUGUAAUUGUUUGAUUGCUUUAUGGGGAGGCUCAAUAAGGAAGCUCAAUAAGGAAUAAGGAAGCUCAAUAAGGAAGGAGCACACAAUCCUAUUGUAAUUCCUUCCUGGGGUGCGGUGCUCCGGAUUAGUUAGGGACUGACAAGCAGGGUUCAAAUGACCCAGUGGAAAUUGGAAACAUUUAUGAAGGUUAAUCCAACUGACAUUUUGGGAUGUUCUCGGGGGUGCUCAUACUCAGUAGGGGGUGCCAGACAUAUCUUGGGGGUGCCUGACAUCAAAGUGUUUGGCUUGUGGGGGGGGUCCACAUCAAUAUUAAAAUGAUCACCCCUGUUUAGCCAUGGAGAUGAAGACAGACUGUCCCUUAAGAGUAAAGUCUCUCCAGAUGAAGACAGACUGUCUCUUAAGAGUAAAGUCUCUCCACCUCCCAGAGAGUUGAGGUAUAAAUUCAGCCCAGUCCAAUGAACACCUAAACACCUAACCAAUGAAUCAUACAACGCAUGGAGACACUCCAGACAAAUGGCUUCUAUCUACUGUCAGUUGCGCCCAGUGUCUGUCCAGGGAAGCUCUGAUUCACAGCUGUAGGUGGUUGGUGGGUCUUGAUUAAGUGUCUGUCCAGGGAAGCUCUGAUUCACAGCUGUAGGUGGUUGGUGGGUCUUGAUUAAGUGUCUGGCCAGGGAAGCUCUGAUUCACAGCUGUAGGUGGUUGGUGGGUCUUGAUUAAGUGUCUGUCCAGGGAAGCUCUGAUUCACAGCUGUAGGUGGUUGGUGGGUCUUGAUUAAGUGUCCAGGGAAGCUCUGAUUCACAGCUGUAGGUGGUUGGUGGGUCUUGAUUAAGUGUCUGUCCAGGGAAGCUCUGAUUCACAGCUGUAGGUGGUUGGUGGGUCUUGAUUAAGUGUCUGUCCAGGGAAGCUCUGAUUCACAGCUGUAGGUGGUUGGUGGGUCUUGAUUAAGUGUCCAGGGAAGCUCUGAUGCACAGCUGUAGGUGGUUGGUGGGUCUUGAUUAAGUGUCCAGGGAAGCUCUGAUUCACAGCUGUAGGUGGUUGGUUGGUCUUGAUUAAGUGUCCAGGGAAGCUCUGAUUCACAG